This 1548-nucleotide ribosomal RNA is filed under the name Dominikia duoreactiva. RNAcentral's name for it is "eukaryotic LSU rRNA". The stretch from base 702 to 1548 matches the Rfam family "Eukaryotic large subunit ribosomal RNA", at positions 1 to 695 of the family's 3401-position model. The record is from RNAcentral. Lineage: Eukaryota; Fungi; Glomeromycota; Glomeromycetes; Glomerales; Glomeraceae.
UGCUCUUCAACGAGGAAUCCCUAGUAAGCACAAGUCAUCAGCUUGUGCUGAUUACGUCCCUGCCCUUUGUACACACCGCCCGUCGCUACUACCGAUUGAAUGGCUUAGUGAGGCCCUCGAAUCGACUCUCGAAGACUGGCAACCAGUUUUCGUCUGUUGAGAAGUUGGUCAAACUUGGUCAUUUAGAGGAAGUAAAAGUCGUAACAAGGUUUCCGUAGGUGAACCUGCGGAAGGAUCAUUACUGAUUUGGCGAACCGAGCGUUAAGCGAGGUUCUGCGAUCACUUUGUAUUUAAAACCCACACUUUUUAAAUGUAUAUUUUUUAUUAAAUGAAUAAAAAUUAAAGAUCACUUUCAACAACGGAUCUCUUGGCUCUCGCAUCGAUGAAGAACGUAGCGAAGUGCGAUAAGUAAUGUGAAUUGCAGUAUUCCGUGAAUCAUCGAAUCUUUGAACGCAAAUUGCACUCUCUGGUAUUCCGGAGAGUAUGCCUGUUUGAGGGUCAGUUAAAUAAAAAUCGGGGUUUGUUGCCGCCUUUCGUGGUGACGCUUCGGAAUUGGGUCGUCUUUGCCUUCGGUUAAAAAAGUGACCUAAAAUUUCGUAUGAUUUUUCGAACGUAUUUAAAUUAUUUUACGUACGUUUGUGAUAUCGAAUAUAUUAGGUGUGGUCAUUUUCGUGAUUCCCGCCUAUAAUUUUUUCAUCUAUUGACCUCAAAUCAGGUAAGAGUACCCGCUGAACUUAAGCAUAUCAAUAAGCGGAGGAAAAGAAAAUAACAAUGAUUCCCUUAGUAACGGCGAGUGAAGGGGGAAAAGCUCAAAUUUUAAAUCUGCCAGGUUAUACCUAUCAGAGUUGUAUUUUGAAGAAGUGUUUUCCGUGUCUCGGUUUGUCCAAGUCCUUUGGGAUAAGGCGUCAUGGAGGGUUAGAAUCCCGUCCGACUGACCUUUUGACACUUUACGAUACACUUUCAAAGAGUCGAGUUGUUUGGGAUUGCAGCUCCAAAUGGGAGGUAAAUUUCUCCUAAGGCUAAAUAUUGGCGAGAGACCGAUAGCGAACAAGUACCGUGAGGGAAAGAUGAAAAGAACUUUGAAAAGAGAGUAAAAUAGUACGUGAAAUUGUUGAAAGGGAAACGAUUGAAGUCAGUCGUACCGAUGAGAAUUCAACUCUUCGAGUGCUCACUUGUGGGCGUGCGUGAGCCUUAAAACCUCGCUGUUUGCAAUGUUUGUGCUUUUUGGGUGUAAUUUUUCGUAUGGUAGGCCAACGUCAGUUUCGUUUACCAUAAAAUGAUCGGAGGAAAGUAGCUUCGAUCUUGUAUUGAAGUGUUAUAGCCCCUUGUAGAUGUGGUAAACGAAACUGAGGAUUGCAACGAAUACCCUUUGGGCUAUCCGUUUGGCCUUUGAAAGUUGCUUAGGUGCCGAAAGCAUGCUUACGGUUAUUUAAGUUCCCGGUCAAUAGGUUAGAACGUGAUUACCUUCGUUAAGGACGUUGGGGUAAUGGCUUUAAACGACCCGUCUUGAAACCCGGACCAAGGAGUUUAACAUAUAUGCGAGUGUUA